RNAcentral lists this ribosomal RNA (498 nucleotides) under uncultured bacterium. RNAcentral describes it as "partial 16S ribosomal RNA". It matches the Rfam family "Bacterial small subunit ribosomal RNA", at positions 28 to 523 of the family's 1533-position model. The record is from RNAcentral.
GAUGAACGCUAGCGGCAGGCUUAACACAUGCAAGUCGAGGGGCAGCACGGACUUCGGUCUGGUGGCGACCGGCAAACGGGUGCGGAACACAUACACAAUCUACCUUUAUCUGGGGUAUAGCCCGAAGAAAUUCGGAUUAAUCCCCCAUAAUAUAUUAGAGUGGCAUCACUUCGAUAUUAAAACUCCGGUGGAUAAAGAUGAGUGUGCGUCCCAUUAGCUAGUUGGUAGGGUAACGGCCUACCAAGGCAACGAUGGGUAGCGGGUGUGAGAGCACGACCAGCCACACGGGCACGGAGACACGGGCCCGACUCCUACGGGAGGCAGCAGUGAGGAAUAUUGGUCAAUGGACGCAAGUCUGAACCAGCCAUGCCGCGUGAAGGAUGAAGGCCUUCUGGGUUGUAAACUUCUUUUAUUGGGGAAGAAAAUUACGGUUUCUACUGUAACCGACGGUACCCAAGGAAUAAGCACCGGCUAACUCCGUGCCAGCCGCCGCGGUAA